UACGUAGGGUGCAAGCGUUAAUCGGAAUUACUGGGCGUAAAGCGUGCGCAGGCGGUUUUGUAAGCCAGAUGUGAAAUCCCCGGGCUCAACCUGGGAAUGGCAUUUGGGACUGCAAGGCUGGAGUUUGGCAGAGGAGACUGGAAUUCCCGGUGUAGCAGUGAAAUGCGUAGAUAAUCGGGAGGAAUACCGAUGGCGAAGGCAGGUCUCUGGGCUAUAACUGACGCUCAUGCACGAAAGCGUGGGAGCAACAGG
This 252-nucleotide ribosomal RNA is filed under the name uncultured bacterium. RNAcentral describes it as "partial 16S ribosomal RNA". It matches the Rfam family "Bacterial small subunit ribosomal RNA", at positions 524 to 776 of the family's 1533-position model. The record is from RNAcentral.